ACGCGCCCUGAGAGGGGACGAGGGAGCCUUUCCCUUUUCAGCUGGGGACCUCGACCGGGAUCCUGGAAGUGUCAUUAAAGGAUACAUUAUUGGUAACUUCUGGAAUGGAGCAAACACCGCUAUGGCCUGUGCAAGAUCAGAAUGUGGUUUCAUUCAUUCAUAUCAGAAUCGUAUUAACCAGGCUAACCAAACUAAGGACAGCGUUAUCAGAUUGAGAUGCUGGCAGCUUUUCUCAGGUCACACAAUCACAAAACAAUGGAUGAGGAUUACAACAAAUCAGCAGCUGGCUUUGUAGAAGACCUGGAAAGUCGUAUCUGCAUAUGUUAUAUGUAAAUUUCAUGUCAGCUCCAAAAGAGAAUUUCAAUAACUUGCCUAAGGUACCAGAAAAAGUAAGCAAACGAUCUUGAAUUUAAACUUAGAAGAGCCUAACUACAACUUGUGUCAAUAUUCUUCUUCCUGGACCACAACAGUUUUUCUGUUAUUUGAUACUUUGCUGCUCUCAACAUAAAUGUCUUUGGAUGGUGGCAAAGUUAUUGCCCUUAUGAGAGGUGUUUUAUGAAUAAUUUUGAAAAUACACAUAAAAAUGUAUUUUGAAAACAUAUAUUAAUGCUUUCUCUUUGGGUUUAUAUAAAAACAAAAUAAAUGAAAAGAAGUUUCAUGGAGGUGGCAGUAUGUUUUUUAGUCCCCAAUAUACUGUUGCUCUCAGGACAAAGUAAGGUUUUAAAAAUAUGUCCUUGAUAGUUUUAAAUAUUUUAAAAAUUAAAAUACAUUUUAAAAUCUUAACUGCAUAUUGUACUUUGAAGGUUUCUGCUAUUUGAAAGAUAAUGCAGCCUUGUCCUUCAGGAAUGUCCUACAAAAUGCAUUUUCAAAAAUUUUCUCUUUUUUCCAAGAACAUUGUUCACAAUUACCUGGCAAACAUUGAAGUCUGUCCUUCAGUUGCCUUUUAAAACAUUAAUUUUCAUCUUAUGAAUAAGUCUUUAAUGUACUUCACAAUUAAUUCUGAUCUUUACUGCUGUAUAGCUUUAAAUUUAUUUCACUGAAUAAAUCUUUCAUGUAUUUUAAUUCCAAAUUAUGGAUAAGUAUACUGUUGCUUCAUUACAUUCCACAACAUUCCCAUUUAAAUCCCAUAUUAUUAAUCAAGACAUCAAUUUCCUUACAAGUUCUUAGUAAGUAGAGCAUUUCUGUACUGAAUGAAGGUAUUUACUUCCUGUAUAUUGUUUUCAAAGAUCAAUUGUUAUUAAAUUUGUAUUGUAACUGACAUGCUGAAAUAUACAAAUAUUCAUAUGAAAAAUAAUUUAUAACAGUAAAAUAAUGUGCUAAAACAAUGGACAAAAUAUGAGUAUAUAUAGUAUCUCACGAAUAAUAAAAAAUAGUGCUAAUACUGUU
Molecule: long non-coding RNA, 1386 nt
Organism: Macaca mulatta (Rhesus monkey)
Lineage: Eukaryota; Metazoa; Chordata; Mammalia; Primates; Cercopithecidae
Source: RefSeq, a predicted model, not a curated record